This 497-nucleotide ribosomal RNA is filed under the name uncultured bacterium. Its description in RNAcentral is "partial 16S ribosomal RNA". It matches the Rfam family "Bacterial small subunit ribosomal RNA", at positions 28 to 507 of the family's 1533-position model. The record is from RNAcentral.
GAUGAACGCUGGCGGCGUGCCUAAUACAUGCAAGUCGAGCGAACAGACGAGGAGCUUGCUCCUCUGACGUUAGCGGCGGACGGGUGAGUAACACGUGGAUAACCUACCUAUAAGACUGGGAUAACUUCGGGAAACCGGAGCUAAUACCGGAUAAUAUAUUGAACCGCAUGGUUCAAUAGUUAAAGACGGUUUUGCUGUCACUUAUAGAUGGCUCCGCGCCGCAUUAGCUAGUUGGUAAGGUAACGGCUUACCAAGGCAACGAUGCGUAGCCGACCUGAGAGGGUGAUCGGCCACACUGGAACUGAGACACGGUCCAGACUCCGACGGGAGGCAGCAGUAGGGAAUCUUACGCAAUGGGCGAAAGCCUGACGGAGCAACGCCGCGUGAGUGAUGAAGGUCUUAGGAUCGUAAAACUCUGUUAUUAGGGAAGAACAAAUGUGUAAGUAACUAUGCACGUCUUGACGGUACCUAAUCAGAAAGCCACGGCUAACUACGUG